RNAcentral lists this non-coding RNA (139 nucleotides) under Heyndrickxia ginsengihumi. RNAcentral's name for it is "Bacillus ginsengihumi FMN sequence". It matches the Rfam family "FMN riboswitch aptamer (RFN element)". From Rfam's summary of the family: The RFN element is a highly conserved domain that is found frequently in the 5'-untranslated regions of prokaryotic mRNAs that encode for flavin mononucleotide (FMN) biosynthesis and transport proteins. The record is from Rfam by way of RNAcentral. Lineage: Bacteria; Bacillati; Bacillota; Bacilli; Caryophanales; Bacillaceae.
AUUUAUCUUCGGGGCGUGGUGAAAUUCCCGACCGGCGGUAAUGAAGCAAUAUGCUUUUAGUCCGCGAGCCGUUAAUAUAAUGGCAGGAUUUGGUGAGAUUCCAAAACCGACAGUAAAGUCUGGAUGGGAGAAGAUAAAG